This 305-nucleotide ribosomal RNA is filed under the name uncultured bacterium. RNAcentral's name for it is "bacterial SSU rRNA". It matches the Rfam family "Bacterial small subunit ribosomal RNA", at positions 333 to 636 of the family's 1533-position model. The record is from RNAcentral.
AGUAGCCUACGGGGCGCAGCAGUGAGGAAUAUUGGUCAAUGGUCGGGAGACUGAACCAGCCAAGCCGCGUGAGGGAGGAAGGUACAGAGUAUCGUAAACCUCUUCUGUCAGGGAACAAAGACUGGGAUGCGUCCCCGGAUGAGUGUACCUGAAGAAAAAGCAUCGGCUAACUCCGUGCCAGCAGCCGCGGUAAUACGGAGGAUGCGAGCGUUAUCCGGAUUUAUUGGGUUUAAAGGGUGCGCAGGCGGUCUGUUAAGUCAGCGGUCAAAGCCCGGGGCUCAACCCCGGCCCGCCGUUGAAACUGG